RNAcentral lists this ribosomal RNA (279 nucleotides) under uncultured bacterium. RNAcentral describes it as "partial 16S ribosomal RNA". It matches the Rfam family "Bacterial small subunit ribosomal RNA", at positions 506 to 784 of the family's 1533-position model. The record is from RNAcentral.
UGCCAGCCGCCGCGGUAAUACGGAGGGUGCAAGCGUUGUUCGGAAUUAUUGGGCGUAAAGCGCGUGUAGGCGGUUCGUUAAGUCAGAUGUGAAAGCCCUGGGCUUAACCCAGGAAGUGCAUUUGAUACUGUCAUUCUUGAGUACGGGAGAGGGAAGCGGAAUUCCGAGUGUAGAGGUGAAAUUCGUAGAUAUUCGGAGGAACACCGGUGGCGAAGGCGGCUUCCUGGACCGAUACUGACGCCGAGGUGCGAAAGCGUGGGGAGCAAACAGGAUUAGAUA